This 826-nucleotide ribosomal RNA is filed under the name Bacillus sp. (in: firmicutes). RNAcentral's name for it is "bacterial SSU rRNA". It matches the Rfam family "Bacterial small subunit ribosomal RNA", at positions 79 to 890 of the family's 1533-position model. The record is from RNAcentral. Lineage: Bacteria; Bacillati; Bacillota; Bacilli; Caryophanales; Bacillaceae.
UUGCUCCCGGAUGUUAGCGGCGGACGGGUGAGUAACACGUGGGUAACCUGCCUGUAAGACUGGGAUAACUCCGGGAAACCGGAGCUAAUACCGGAUAGUUCCUUGAACCGCAUGGUUCAAGGAUGAAAGACGGUUUCGGCUGUCACUUACAGAUGGACCCGCGGCGCAUUAGCUAGUUGGUGGGGUAAUGGCUCACCAAGGCGACGAUGCGUAGCCGACCUGAGAGGGUGAUCGGCCACACUGGGACUGAGACACGGCCCAGACUCCUACGGGAGGCAGCAGUAGGGAAUCUUCCGCAAUGGACGAAAGUCUGACGGAGCAACGCCGCGUGAGUGAUGAAGGUUUUCGGAUCGUAAAGCUCUGUUGUUAGGGAAGAACAAGUGCGAGAGUAACUGCUCGCACCUUGACGGUACCUAACCAGAAAGCCACGGCUAACUACGUGCCAGCAGCCGCGGUAAUACGUAGGUGGCAAGCGUUGUCCGGAAUUAUUGGGCGUAAAGGGCUCGCAGGCGGUUUCUUAAGUCUGAUGUGAAAGCCCCCGGCUCAACCGGGGAGGGUCAUUGGAAACUGGGAAACUUGAGUGCAGAAGAGGAGAGUGGAAUUCCACGUGUAGCGGUGAAAUGCGUAGAGAUGUGGAGGAACACCAGUGGCGAAGGCGACUCUCUGGUCUGUAACUGACGCUGAGGAGCGAAAGCGUGGGGAGCGAACAGGAUUAGAUACCCUGGUAGUCCACGCCGUAAACGAUGAGUGCUAAGUGUUAGGGGGUUUCCGCCCCUUAGUGCUGCAGCUAACGCAUUAAGCACUCCGCCUGGGGAGUACGGUCGCA